RNAcentral lists this long non-coding RNA (1774 nucleotides) under Triticum aestivum (bread wheat). Its description in RNAcentral is "long non-coding RNA (TAES_LNC025988)". Lineage: Eukaryota; Viridiplantae; Streptophyta; Magnoliopsida; Poales; Poaceae. The record is from RNAcentral.
UAAUAUACAUUGCCAGAGAAGCCAAGUCAACAGUCACAACAAAGGAUUUAGUGCUACAUUGAGAUAUAAAUCAUCAGGAACAUUGAAGCCGUAAUUCAAUUCCUGCAGCCAGGAAAAGAUAAUGUUGCUAGGUUGUAAGAUGUAACUUAGAUCACGUCCAAGUAGAGAAUGCAUGGCCACCAUAGUGUUCGAUGAGUGCAUAGUAAUAGCAUUUCUCUUAACCAACCUUUAUUGGUGUAUGGGCACAAGGCUUGUCAUGAUUUCCAGUUUUAGCAUUCUGCAAAAAAAAAGCUAUCCAAAACCCCAUUGUUUUUGAAAAUAUACAUAUAAAAAAAGGAUAUUCUACUACAACAUAAAUUCUACACAUCAAUCAUGGUUUCACAAAGUGAAAAUCUUCAUCAGAUUGGAUGGUUGGUCAACAUUCAAAAGAUAAUGAUUUCGAAACUCAUUGGAGCCAUACUCCAAGUGAAUAUCACAUUCAGAAGAUACAUUUUUUUAAAUCAUUAGAACCAUACUACAACAAAAUACAAUGGCCCUAAAAAACAGAAUACAAUGCAGAUACAUGAGUGACACACUCCUUACCAUGAUGUUGGAAAGGGCCAAUGCGGCAACAUAUUACGAGAAUAGACAAUGUGCCUAAAACAUCAUUUAGCGUUCAGGUUACAUACACAAACAGCAAACAAAAUAAGUUUUCCUUGCCACUGCUUUUCUUUUUAACAUCAACUUGUGAUAGCAUGCUAGUCUCCCAUGAUCAAUUUCUAUCACUACGGUUCACAAAUAUGCUGUUACCUAUAGAUAUAUGAUAUUCAUGUGAGAAGGAAGCUCGGGAAUGUUCCAGAUGUGUAGAUCGGAUAAAAAAAAAGAUUCUCAAAACGAAAUCCUACUUAAUACUUUGUCUUCAUAUGCAUCAGCUCGACAAGUUUAGUAGAAUCCUUCUUCACUCAUAUCCAUGAGGAUGGCUGCAAACAAUGUAAAGAGAAUCUCAAAUGAUCAUGGUUACAAAAAAAUCUUAGCGCUCAACAAGAUUUAUGGAAAGUAGUGUAUCACAAACCUGCAUAAUGCCAAUCGAUAUGAUGCAGAAUUGUUAGGAAGGGACAACACAAUGAUCACGAUAUUUAAGUACCUACUAAGGACAGAACUUGCAUAAAAGCCUUCACCAUUUAUCAUUCCCAAUUGCUGGGAGAUCAAUAAGCCAACUCCCACGUGUGCAUAUACCACCAUCACGGCCUUCAUCAAUUGUCAUGUUCAUACCUCGUAUAUAUAUCCAUUGAUGCCUUUAGCAUGCUUAUAGGUUUGUUUUGUACCUUUCUCUGAAAUCUGGUGGGUCUGGCUGCCUAGCAAGACAAAGAUAUGAGAAUUCACAUGCAUAUAGAAGAUAAUCUGGUAGAAGAACAUAAUAUUACAAAUCAACUAUUGCUCCAAGUUUCCACAAAACAGAAAACAAGGAAGAAGCAAGGUAAUGAAAAGAAAAGGCAAAGUAUAUAAAUACACAUUUUAAAAUAUCGGUCUCUACCUAAAUAGAAUGAGCUCUAUAUGCCAAGGCAUAACAUAGUAAAACUGAGUUGAAUCAAGCUAUCUUGUAAAACAAAAUACAGAUAUUAGCAGAGAACAUACCUUAGUUACUGAUGAUUCACUAUGGGUGGUACCGUGCACACAUGCUAUGAGAUCUCUGCCACCAGUGUAACCUUCACCAAAAUGUCAGAAUUAAAAACAUUAAAGGUAAUGGGUACAACCAAAACUAUGAAGACAAAUAUGCUACUCCCUCCAUUCCAAA